This 1076-nucleotide long non-coding RNA is filed under the name Lathyrus oleraceus (garden pea). Its description in RNAcentral is "Pisum sativum (pea) long non-coding RNA (PSAT_LNC012319)". The record is from RNAcentral. Lineage: Eukaryota; Viridiplantae; Streptophyta; Magnoliopsida; Fabales; Fabaceae.
GAACUUUCAAGUACGUGAUUCCGAAUUUCCUCCUCGUGGCUUCCAAAUAUUUCUCCUUCUUCUUCUUCUAUAUCCGAGAGUGGCAAAAUGUGAGCAUAGUCAAGAUUGAGCAUAAGCAGAAUUAAAGCUCUAAUGGUGAGCUUCAAUUGCCUUUGAAUAGUGCGCAUGGUGAGGGUGAGAGAGAGAGACUCGAAAUGCUUGCAGGGAAUUAAAUGCAAUGAUUGCCAAGGCUUGAAAAUGAUGAAGGGGAUAGUGAUUUAUAGUUGUUAGGUUUGGAUUAGAAUAGGUUUGGAUUCAGGUAUGGAAUUAGUUAGGAGUUGGUUAAGAUGAAAUCAGUGAGUUCAAUCUGUUAAGUCACUAAGUUGGCAGUUAGUUAAUGCAAUUAGUUAGUUACUUAGUUAGGAUGAGUGAACCUAAAUUUGUUUUUCUUUGACUGGUUACUGCAGGUUGGGACUUAAGUGGAAUUGAUCUUAACAUGAGUGAUGACCUGCUGAGAAGGUUCACCCUUUAAUGCCAACUUUGUUAAUUAAUUAGCUUAGGAAAUGUUAUGUUGUUGGUUAAUGUUAACUGUUAUGCAUUGCUUGGUGUUGGGAUGCAUGUAGAUAAAUGGCUUGGUGAAUGGUUCUGACUUGGUUUUUUCACUGCAGGUUUUACUUGUAAUGAUGUGAGUAGGUCUUGGCUGUUGUACCAGGUGGAGCUGAUUAUUAAUGGGUGAUGGUUUUUUGUAACUGGUGUUGAUGUUUUCCUGCAGGUCAAUAUAUGCUGUUGUAUGUUUAUGUCUUUAUUGUAUUGCAAAUACUUGUUCUGCUCUUAUGCUGAACUGCAUUGGAUUAUGGGGACUUGUUUAAACAGUGUGUUAUUCUGAUGUAGGUUUUGAGGUUGGAUUAUGGACCUCACAUCGACCUAUCCUGACUUCAUUAGGUUUGUCAUACAACCAAAGGUUUCAAGUAGGUAUGGUAUGGCAUCAUGACUUUACCCCUUGUAUUGCUUGGUGUUUAUUAUCCUGGUGAAUUGAGUUAUGAACUCUGCAUUUCCAUGGACAGGUACUGCUAUGCUUGGAUGAUUGUAAUGUUAUG